GAGGUGCUUGCACCUUAUCUUAGCGGCGGACGGGUGAGUAAUGCUUAGGAAUCUGCCUAUUAGUGGGGGACAACAUUCCGAAAGGGAUGCUAAUACCGCAUACGUCCUACGGGAGAAAGCAGGGGAUCUUCGGACCUUGCGCUAAUAGAUGAGCCUAAGUCGGAUUAGCUAGUUGGUGGGGUAAAGGCCUACCAAGGCGACGAUCUGUAGCGGGUCUGAGAGGAUGAUCCGCCACACUGGGACUGAGACACGGCCCAGACUCCUACGGGAGGCAGCAGUGGGGAAUAUUGGACAAUGGGGGGAACCCUGAUCCAGCCAUGCCGCGUGUGUGAAGAAGGCCUUAUGGUUGUAAAGCACUUUAAGCGAGGAGGAGGCUACUGAGACUAAUACUCUUGGAUAGUGGACGUUACUCGCAGAAUAAGCACCGGCUAACUCUGUGCCAGCAGCCGCGGUAAUACAGAGGGUGCGAGCGUUAAUCGGAUUUACUGGGCGUAAAGCGUGCGUAGGCGGCUUUUUAAGUCGGAUGUGAAAUCCCCGAGCUUAACUUGGGAAUUGCAUUCGAUACUGGGAAGCUAGAGUAUGGGAGAGGAUGGUAGAAUUCCAGGUGUAGCGGUGAAAUGCGUAGAGAUCUGGAGGAAUACCGAUGGCGAAGGCAGCCAUCUGGCCUAAUACUGACGCUGAGGUACGAAAG
RNAcentral lists this ribosomal RNA (691 nucleotides) under uncultured bacterium. RNAcentral describes it as "bacterial SSU rRNA". It matches the Rfam family "Bacterial small subunit ribosomal RNA", at positions 73 to 759 of the family's 1533-position model. The record is from RNAcentral.